RNAcentral lists this transfer RNA (73 nucleotides) under Naganishia liquefaciens. RNAcentral's name for it is "Cryptococcus liquefaciens tRNA". It matches the Rfam family "tRNA". Rfam says of the family: Transfer RNA (tRNA) molecules are approximately 80 nucleotides in length. Their secondary structure includes four short double-helical elements and three loops (D, anti-codon, and T loops). Lineage: Eukaryota; Fungi; Basidiomycota; Tremellomycetes; Filobasidiales; Filobasidiaceae. RNAcentral also lists the same sequence under 2 other names. The record is from Rfam by way of RNAcentral.
UGGGUUAUAGGGUAAUUGGCAACCCAGUGCUUUUUGGUAGCAUUAAUUGGGAGUUCGAAUCUUCCUAACCCAG